GGGCCUGUAGCUCAGUUGGUUAGAGCCGUCGACUCAUAAUCGAACGGUCGCCGGUUCAAAUCCGGCCGGGCCCACCA
This 77-nucleotide transfer RNA is filed under the name Burkholderia cepacia. RNAcentral's name for it is "tRNA-Met". It matches the Rfam family "tRNA". Rfam says of the family: Transfer RNA (tRNA) molecules are approximately 80 nucleotides in length. Their secondary structure includes four short double-helical elements and three loops (D, anti-codon, and T loops). Lineage: Bacteria; Pseudomonadati; Pseudomonadota; Betaproteobacteria; Burkholderiales; Burkholderiaceae. The record is from RNAcentral.